This 411-nucleotide ribosomal RNA is filed under the name Pseudomonas sp. Z28. RNAcentral's name for it is "bacterial SSU rRNA". It matches the Rfam family "Bacterial small subunit ribosomal RNA", at positions 290 to 692 of the family's 1533-position model. Lineage: Bacteria; Pseudomonadati; Pseudomonadota; Gammaproteobacteria; Pseudomonadales; Pseudomonadaceae. The record is from RNAcentral.
GUCUGAGAGGAUGAUCAGUCACACUGGAACUGAGACACGGUCCAGACUCCUACGGGAGGCAGCAGUGGGGAAUAUUGGACAAUGGGCGAAAGCCUUGAUCCAGCCAUGCCGCGUGUGUGAAGAAGGUCUUCGGAUUGUAAAGCACUUUAAGUUGGGAGGAAGGGCAGUUACCUAAUACGUGAUUGUUUUGACGUUACCGACAGAAUAAGCACCGGCUAACUCUGUGCCAGCAGCCGCGGUAAUACAGAGGGUGCAAGCGUUAAUCGGAAUUACUGGGCGUAAAGCGCGCGUAGGUGGUUUGUUAAGUUGGAUGUGAAAUCCCCGGGCUCAWCCUGGGAACUGCAUUCAAAACUGACUGACUAGAGUAUGGUAGAGGGUGGUGGAAUUUCCUGUGUAGCGGUGAAAUGCGUA